AAGCGGCAACAGCUCAAAUUUGAAAUCUGGCUUCGGCCCGAGUUGUAAUUUGUAGAGGAUGCUUUUGGUGAGGUGCCUUCUGAGUUCCCUGGAACGGGACGCCAGAGAGGGUGAGAGCCCCGUAUAGUCGGCCACCGAUCCUCUGUAAAGCUCCUUCGACGAGUCGAGUAGUUUGGGAAUGCUGCUCAAAAUGGGAGGUAUAUCUCUUCUAAAGCUAAAUAUUGGCCAGAGACCGAUAGCGCACAAGUAGAGUGAUCGAAAGAUGAAAAGCACUUUGAAAAGAGGGUUAAAUAGCACGUGAAAUUGUUGAAAGGGAAGCGCUUGUGACCAGACUUGUGCCGGGCUGAUCAUCCAGUGUUCUCACUGGUGCACUCGACCCGGCUCAGGCCAGCGUCGGUUCUCGCGGGGGGAUAAAAGCUUCGGGAACGUGGCACCUCCGGGUGUGUUAUAGCCCGUUGCUUAAUACC
RNAcentral lists this ribosomal RNA (467 nucleotides) under Coniochaeta lignicola. Its description in RNAcentral is "LSU rRNA". It matches the Rfam family "Eukaryotic large subunit ribosomal RNA", at positions 96 to 575 of the family's 3401-position model. The record is from RNAcentral. Lineage: Eukaryota; Fungi; Ascomycota; Sordariomycetes; Coniochaetales; Coniochaetaceae.